This 1513-nucleotide long non-coding RNA is filed under the name Betta splendens (Siamese fighting fish). RNAcentral's name for it is "lncRNA (ENSBSLG00000025007.1)". Lineage: Eukaryota; Metazoa; Chordata; Actinopteri; Anabantiformes; Osphronemidae. The record is from RNAcentral.
CAUUAGCACGUCUGGGUGUGGGAGUUGAUUGACUAUGAACUAUUAUAAUGCAUCAGAAUGUUUAUUGGGAUGCUGAGCAGGUGUAAAAAUAAAUAAAUAAAGACAAACCAACAAAUUAGCAGAGGUAUUCAGAAUUAAGCUCCACUUUCCCACUGUUUGCAUUGCAGUUCACAGUGUACUGUAAUAUAAAUCAAAGGUCCCCAACUCAGUAAUGGGAAUUAAUUUGAAAGGUACCGUUCACAGUAUUAAUUAUGUGGUGCACCGCUUAUGUGAAAGCAGGAAACAAGUCACACAGCAUCACUUGAGUAGAACCGCUAUCGGAUUCAACCUGUUGCUAGGAGGGAAACUAAAGGCUUUUGCCGCUGCUGCGGUGUUCAAGUGGUGUCGGACAUUACAGUGUUAAAAACCACGUCAAAGAAAACACACGCAACAUACAGUCUCUAGCUCGAAAAAUAAAUAAAAUUAUAAAAUAGCUAAGCCUCUGUUAUUUUCUGAGAUAAUGUGCACAUACAAUAGUUCUUUUUUUUAUUUUUUAAAUUUAUUUUUUAAAGUUGUUUUACGUCCGUACGAUACCAUUUUCCAUCUGGCAACACAGUGUAGCAGCAGCAUUUCUUCACCAGACCCUCUUUAGUCAAACCUGCUGUGCAAAGUUCCGCUCUCCGUCUCUCUCUCUCUCUCUCCCGUUUCCGCGCGGACGCCGAGGCCGCUCGCAGCAGCGCCGUAGCCAUGGAGACGCGCAAUUACCCGCGAUGCCAACAAUUCACGCUGAAUAAUUUUACCAGCGACCGGACGGGCGCGCGGGGCUGCGGGAACCUCCCCCUCGGCCGCUGUUACCCGCGUCUCCUCCCUCACCUACUGUAGCUCGCCCCGGUUCAGCGCUCAUCCGCCACGUGUUCCAUUCAUGUGCGUGUUUACCGGAGUAAAUAUAGCACACGCGCAGCAGGUUGCCGCACGCGGGCCCGCUGUCAGCCUUAGAUGUAUCAGGGCACCGCAGCUCGCGAACAUUGCGCCUUUCAUCGACCCGGCAGUGAAACCGCUAUUACUCGCAGGGUUUUCUCCACUUCAGUCUUAACGCAAACAGGACAAGGGGACAGUCAGGCUGUGGAGACGCUCCCACUGGUUGCAACGUGUUGCAUGUUACAGCGGCACACGAACACAUCUGUUCAAGUGAUGGCAUCUUGAGCACGUUUAUGCAUCUACUGUACAUCUGCAUAAAGCAUAAAAGGAGUCAUUUUAAGCAACCCUCCACCUGAUUCCACUGUAUCUAUGCCCAGAUCAUCCGUUUCCCUCAUCCACACCCUUUCUCCAUGUUGCUCACCCCUGCUGGAGUUGAGGCCACGGGGACGUCUGCGUGCUCCUGUAGGAAGACAUUAGCGUCAGCGUUAAUGCGGGGCCGCUGUCUGCUCAUUACGGCCUCGAUUCCCCCCCCCCCCGCUGACAGAAGAUCUCGUGGCCGGGCUACGAGCUGACGGACAGCGAAUCUGCGGCUGCACAACCGCUGUCUCCGCAUCGC